UACGUAGGUGGCAAGCGUUGUCCGGAUUUAUUGGGUUUAAAGGGUGCGUAGGCGGUUCUGUAAGUCAGUGGUGAAAUCCGGCAGCUCAACUGUCGAUGUGCCAUUGAUACUGCAGAACUUGAGUACAGACGAGGUAGGCGGAAUUGACGGUGUAGCGGUGAAAUGCUUAGAUAUCGUCAAGAACACCGAUAGCGAAGGCAGCUUACUAGACUGUAACUGACACUGAGGCACGAAAGUGUGGGGAUCAAACAGG
RNAcentral lists this ribosomal RNA (253 nucleotides) under uncultured bacterium. Its description in RNAcentral is "partial 16S ribosomal RNA". It matches the Rfam family "Bacterial small subunit ribosomal RNA", at positions 524 to 776 of the family's 1533-position model. The record is from RNAcentral.